Molecule: non-coding RNA, 250 nt
Organism: Phascolarctos cinereus (koala)
Lineage: Eukaryota; Metazoa; Chordata; Mammalia; Diprotodontia; Phascolarctidae
Source: RefSeq, a predicted model, not a curated record
GAGUAAUAUUGGUUCUGCUACCAGCAUGGAACCUGGCAGAUAACAGGAACUUAAUAAAUGUUUGUUGGUUGACUGAUUUUUGUGACUCCUGGUGGUUCUAUCACAUGGAUGAAAACAAGAGCAGUCAGGGAGUGAUUAAGUAUCAAAGAACAUGGUCCACAAACAGAAGAUGAUGAACGGUAUACAAAACUGAGACGUUACCUUCAACAGUCUUUCCACUAGACACAGUCAUACCACCAGAACAGCAGCU